GUUUGGUGUCCAGUAGGUGGGCCCUGCCAAGAUGCAAACAAGAGUCCUACACGCAGAAGUACUACAGCUCCAUGGGGGAGGCUGCCUGUGUGUUGUUCUCAAGGCUAUUGAAGAGAAAUGCCAGAGAUGCAGGAAAACUUUGGAGUAUUUGAAGAGUAAGGAUCUGAACAGUUUCUGACAACAUAAAAGGAUUCAUUAUCUGACAGCCCAUUGUCAAAAGCAGAUGAGUACAGAAACCUGGAUGAUAUUCUGUUGUGUGACCUUCAAAAGAAAAUGAAAAUCUUGCAUAUAUAACUUGUUCUCUGUAAAACAGAAACGUACUAUGAUGUGAUUGCAGAAAGCUUGAAGAGGGGCGUUUUCAGGAGUCGCUCUUUGCUCUUGAAAGCAGAGCAGGGAGUCUUGGCUGGCACCACGUCUGAGCAAGAGGAGCAAUCCCCUUGACUUUUCAG
This 449-nucleotide long non-coding RNA is filed under the name Gallus gallus (chicken). RNAcentral describes it as "lncRNA (ENSGALG00010002540.1)". Lineage: Eukaryota; Metazoa; Chordata; Aves; Galliformes; Phasianidae. The record is from RNAcentral.